This 27-nucleotide non-coding RNA is filed under the name Bombyx mori (domestic silkworm). The record is from RNAcentral. RNAcentral also lists the same sequence under 1 other name. Lineage: Eukaryota; Metazoa; Arthropoda; Insecta; Lepidoptera; Bombycidae.
UCCUCGUAACGCGAUGGCGUGUCCUAC